ACAGCAGCAGCCGCGGUAAUCCGUAGGUGGCAAGCGUUGUCCGGAAUUAUUGGGCGUAAAGGGCUCGCAGGCGGUUUCUUAAGUCUGAUGUGAAAGCCCCCGGCUCAACCGGGGAGGGUCAUUGGAAACUGGGAAACUUGAGUGCAGAAGAGGAGAGUGGAAUUCCACGUGUAGCGGUGAAAUGCGUAGAGAUGUGGAGGAACACCAAUGGCGAAGGCGACUCCCUGGUCUGUAACUGACGCUGAGGAGCGAAAGCGUGGGGAGCGAACAGGAUUAGAUACCCGAGUAGUCCCUGUCUCUUAUAC
RNAcentral lists this ribosomal RNA (305 nucleotides) under uncultured bacterium. RNAcentral describes it as "partial 16S ribosomal RNA". It matches the Rfam family "Bacterial small subunit ribosomal RNA", at positions 505 to 807 of the family's 1533-position model. The record is from RNAcentral.